UGGCUCUCGCAUCGAUGAAGAACGCAGCGAAAUGCGAUAAGUAAUGUGAAUUGCAGAAUUCAGUGAAUCAUCGAAUCUUUGAACGCACCUUGCACCCUUUGGUAUUCCGAAGGGUACACCCGUUUGAGUGUCAUUGUAAUCUCACUAUGUUCGACUUUGUUGUCGUUCGUAUGUGGACCUGGAUGUUGCCGUUGGUUUCCCGACGGCUCGUUUGAAAUGCCUGAGUGUACCCUGCUUUGCGGCGUAUUCGGUGUAAUACAUUGUCACCGGAGUUGAUCCUUUUGGGUCGCGUCUGCACGAGUGUGGCUCUAUGCUUUCCAACCGUCCCUUGACCGGGACAAUCUUUUUGACAAUUUGACCUCAAAUCGGGUGGGACUACCCGCUGA
Molecule: unclassified non-coding RNA, 386 nt
Filed under: uncultured fungus
Lineage: Eukaryota; Fungi
Description: partial contains 5.8S ribosomal RNA and internal transcribed spacer 2
Rfam family: 5.8S ribosomal RNA (bases 1-133)
Source: RNAcentral